UGGGGAAUUUUGGACAAUGGGCGCAAGCCUGAUCCAGCCAUGCCGCGUGCGGGAAGAAGGCCUUCGGGUUGUGAACCGCUUUUGUCAGGGAAGAAAUCUUCUGAGUUAAUACCUCGGGAGGAUGACGGUACCUGAAGAAUAAGCACCGGCUAACUACGUGCCAGCAGCCGCGGUAAUACGUAGGGUGCAAGCGUUAAUCGGAAUUACUGGGCGUAAAGCGUGCGCAGGCGGUUUUGUAAGACAGAGGUGAAAUCCCCGGGCUCAACCUGGGAACUGCCUUUGUGACUGCAAGGCUUGAGUGCGGCAGAGGGGGAUGGAAUUCCGCGUGUAGCAGUGAAAUUGCGUAGAUAUGCGGAGGAACACCGAUGGCGAAGGCAAUCCCCUGGGCCUGCACUGACGCUCAUGCACGAAAGCGUGGGGAGCAAACAGGAUUAGGUACCCUGGUAGUCCACGCCCUAAACGAUGUCAACUGGUUGUUGGGAAGGUUCCUUCUCAGUAACGUAGCUAACGCGUGAAGUUUGGACCGCCUGGGGAGUACGGCCGCAAGGUUGAAACUC
Molecule: ribosomal RNA, 557 nt
Filed under: uncultured bacterium
Lineage: Bacteria
Description: partial 16S ribosomal RNA
Rfam family: Bacterial small subunit ribosomal RNA
Source: RNAcentral